RNAcentral lists this ribosomal RNA (403 nucleotides) under Papilio iswara iswara. RNAcentral describes it as "partial 16S ribosomal RNA". The record is from RNAcentral. Lineage: Eukaryota; Metazoa; Arthropoda; Insecta; Lepidoptera; Papilionidae.
GGGCUGCAGUAUUUUGACUGUACAAAGGUAGCAUAAUCAAUAGUCUCUUAAUUGGUGACUUGUAUGAAAGAUUGGAUGAGAUAUAGACUGUCUCUAGUUAAUUUAUAGAAAUUAAUUUUUUAGUUAAAAAGCUAAAAUAAUUUUAAAAGACGAGAAGACCCUAUAGAGUUUAAUAAUUUAUUUAAUUGUAUUAUUUUAUAAAUUUUAAAAAUUAAAAUUAAAUGAAUUAUUUUGUUGGGGUGAUAAAAAAAUUAAAUUAACUUUUUUUGAUUAUUAACAUUAAUUUAUGAUUUAAUGAUCCAUUAAUAGUGAUUAAAAGAAAAAAUUACCUUAGGGAUAACAGCGUAAUUUUUUUUUUUAGUUCAAAUAGGAAAAAAAGUUUGCGACCUCGAUGUUGGAUUAA